Molecule: ribosomal RNA, 1564 nt
Filed under: Haptolina brevifila
Lineage: Eukaryota; Haptophyta; Prymnesiales; Prymnesiaceae
Description: partial Bacterial large subunit ribosomal RNA
Rfam family: Bacterial large subunit ribosomal RNA
Source: RNAcentral
AAAUACUCUCUAGUGACCGAUAGUGAACCAGUACCGUGAGGGAAAGGUGAAAAGAACCCCGGGAGGGGAGUGAAAUAGAACAUGAAAUCGUAAGUUUACAAGCAGUAGAAGAGCGACUUAACGCUCGACUUCGUGCCUGUUGAAGAAUGAGCUGGCGACUUGUAGGUUGUGGCAAGGUUAAGAUAAGAGAAUAUUGGAGCCAUAGUGAAAGCGAGCCUGAUAAGGGCUUUCAGUCAUAAUUUACAGACCCGAACCCGGAUGAUCUAACCAUGGCCAGUGUGAAGCUUAGGUAACACUAAGUGGAGGUACCAACCGACUGUUGUUGAAAAAACAGCGGAUGAGUUGUGGUUAGGGGUGAAAUUCCAAUCGAAUCCGGAGCUAGCUGGAUCUCCCCGAAAUGCGUUGAGGCGCAGCGGUUAAUGUUUCUUCUUAGGGGUAAAGCUACUGUUUUGGUGCGGGCUGCGAGAGCGGUACCAAAUCAAGGCAAACUCUGAAUACUAAGACGUUUAGUUAACCAGUGAGACAUUGGGGGAUAAGCUUCAAUGUCAAGAGGGAAACAGCCCAGAUUACUAGCUAAGGCCCCUAAAUAAUUGCUAAGUGGUAAAGGAGGUGGGAUUGCAGAGACAAUCAGGAGGUUUGCCCAGAAGCAGCAAUCCUUUAAAGAGUGCGUAAUAGCUCACUGUUCGAGUGGUCCUGCGCCGAAAAUGACUGGGACUAAGCAAUUUGCCGAAGCUGUAAGAUGUCAAAACAUCGGUAGGGGAGCGUUCUACAUUAGUUUGAAGCGUUAACGGAAGUGGGCGUGGACGAAGUAGAAGUGAGAAUGUUAGCUUGAGUAGCGAAAACAUUGGUGAGAAUCCAAUGCCCCGAAAACCUAAGGGUUCCUCCGGAAGGCUCGUCCGCGGAGGGUGAGUCAGGUCCUAAGGUCAGGCUGAAAAGCGUAGUCGAUGGAUAACAGGUUAAUAUUCCUGUACUGUUUAUUGUUGGUAAUGGGGGACGGAGAAGGCUAGGCUGGCCGAAUUUUGGUUAUCGGUUUAAGUAUUCAAGGUGUUGAGAACUGGCGAAAACAGUUUGAGCUGAGAUACGAAUAGGAAAGUACUAAGGUACUCAACCAGUGGAUGUCAUACUUCCAAGAAAAGCCCUAACUACCAUAAGCAAUAAAUACCUGUACCCUAAACCGACACAGGUGGGUAAGUAGAGUAUACUAAGGGGCGCGAGAUAACUCUCUCUAAGGAACUCGGCAAAAUAGCCUCGUAACUUCGGGAGAAGAGGUACCCUUAAUUGGGUUGCAAGAACCAGACGCUGGCGACUGUUUAUCAAAAACACAGGGCUCUGCUAAAUCGAAAGAUGAUGUAUAGGGCCUGACACCUGCCCGGUGCCGGAAGGUUAAGAGGAGAGCUUAGCGUAAGCGAAGGUUUGAAUUGAAGCCCCGGUAAACGGCGGCCGUAACAAUAACGGUCCUAAGGUAGCGAAAUUCCUUGUCGGGUAAGUUCCGACCUGCACGAAUGGCGUAACGACUUCCCCACUGUCUCCAGCAUCGACUCAGCGAAAUUGAAGUCCCCGUGAA